Molecule: non-coding RNA, 500 nt
Organism: Streptomyces bungoensis
Lineage: Bacteria; Bacillati; Actinomycetota; Actinomycetes; Kitasatosporales; Streptomycetaceae
Rfam family: Saccharopolyspora sRNA 350
Source: Rfam
CGGGCGGUGUACUCCCAGAUGGCCUCCGGGUCCAGCAGGGCGUCCUCGCCGAAGUAGGCGCCGUCGGCGAGGACCCCGAGGACCGCGUCGUCGCCGUAGGGGCCCGUGCCGACCUUCUCCACCCUGCCGUGGGCCAGCAGGUAGACCCCUUCGGUGCGGCUGCCGAAGGAGGUGAUGACCUCACCGGGCGCGAAGUCCCGCUGGCGGCAGCGCCGGGCCAGUUCGGCGAGCACCUCGUCGUCCUCGUAGGAGCGCAGCGCCGGCAGCUCGCCGAGUUCGGCGGGGAUCACCUCGACCUGGUCCCCGGUCUUGACGAAGGUGAUGCGCCCGUCGCCGACGGUGUAGGUCAGCCGCCGGUUCACCCGGUACGUGCCGCCCUGCAGGUCGACCCACGGCAGUGUGCGCAGCAGCCAGCGGGAGCUGAUCUCCUGCAUCUGGGGGACGGACUUGGUGGUGGUGGCCAGGUUCCGCGCUGCCGCCGUGCCGAGAGACUGCUGCGG